This 254-nucleotide ribosomal RNA is filed under the name Salmonella enterica. RNAcentral describes it as "partial 23S ribosomal RNA". It matches the Rfam family "Bacterial large subunit ribosomal RNA", at positions 611 to 867 of the family's 2925-position model. Lineage: Bacteria; Pseudomonadati; Pseudomonadota; Gammaproteobacteria; Enterobacterales; Enterobacteriaceae. RNAcentral also lists the same sequence under 3 other names. The record is from RNAcentral.
UAUAAUGGGUCAGCGACUUAUAUUCUGUAGCAAGGUUAACCGCAUAGGGGAGCCGAAGGGAAACCGAGUCUUAACCGGGCGUUAAGUUGCAGGGUAUAGACCCGAAACCCGGUGAUCUAGCCAUGGGCAGGUUGAAGGUUGGGUAACACUAACUGGAGGACCGAACCGACUAAUGUUGAAAAAUUAGCGGAUGACCUGUGGCUGGGGGUGAAAGGCCAAUCAAACCGGGAGAUAGCUGGUUCUCCCCGAAAGCU